GUGGCGGACGGGUGAGUAACACGUGGGAACCUGCCUCGAAGUCCGGAAUAACCGCGGGAAACUGCGGCUAAUACCGGAUGUGGCCCGAGGGCCAAAGGGGAGACUCGCUUCCAGAGGGGCCCGCGUCCGAUUAGCUAGUUGGUGAGGUAACGGCUCACCAAGGCGACGAUCGGUAGCUGGUCUGAGAGGAUGAUCAGCCACACUGGGACUGCGACACGGCCCAGACUCCUAC
RNAcentral lists this ribosomal RNA (232 nucleotides) under uncultured bacterium. RNAcentral describes it as "partial 16S ribosomal RNA". It matches the Rfam family "Bacterial small subunit ribosomal RNA", at positions 95 to 342 of the family's 1533-position model. The record is from RNAcentral.